UAAAGAUUCAUCGCUGAUAGAUAGGCAUGCGUUCCAUUAGGCAGUUGGCGGGGUAACGGCCCACCAAACCGACGAUGGAUAGGGGUUCUGAGAGGAAGGUCCCCCACAUUGGUACUGAGACACGGACCAAACUCCUACGGGAGGCAGCAGUGAGGAAUAUUGGUCAAUGGGCGUAAGCCUGAACCAGCCAAGUCGCGUGAGGGAUGAAGGUUCUAUGGAUCGUAAACCUCUUUUAUAAGGGAAUAAAGUGUGGGACAUGUCCUAUUUUGUAUGUACCUUAUGAAUAAGGAUCGGCUAACUCCGUGCCAGCAGCCGCGGUAAUACGGAGGAUCCGAGCGUUAUCCGGAUUUAUUGGGUUUAAAGGGUGCGUAGGCGGCCUUUUAAGUCAGCGGUGAAAGUCUGUGGCUCAACCAUAGAAUUGCCGUUGAAACUGGGGGGCUUGAGUAUGUUUGAGGCAGGCGGAAUGCGUGGUGUAGCGGUGAAAUGCUUAGAUAUCACGCAGAACCCCGAUUGCGAAGGCAGCCUGCCAAGCCAUGACUGACGCUGAUGCACGAAAGCGUGGGGAUCAAACAGGAUUAGAUACCCUGGUAGUCCACGCAGUAAACGAUGAUCACUAGCUGUUUGCGAUACAGUGUAA
RNAcentral lists this ribosomal RNA (637 nucleotides) under uncultured bacterium. RNAcentral's name for it is "bacterial SSU rRNA". It matches the Rfam family "Bacterial small subunit ribosomal RNA", at positions 202 to 842 of the family's 1533-position model. The record is from RNAcentral.